Non-coding RNA from Podarcis lilfordi (Lilford's wall lizard), 1439 nucleotides. Lineage: Eukaryota; Metazoa; Chordata; Lepidosauria; Squamata; Lacertidae. The record is from the annotation of a GenBank genome assembly.
GUUUCCCUCUCUCCCACCCCUCUGUGUGGCCCCGGGUGCUGGCAAUCCAUGCUAUGCCACUGUAGGUAGGGUAGACCUUUUCUUUUCAGUAUAGCACUGGCAUUAUCGUGCCCUGCCGUAUGAGCAUAAAGACCUAAGAAGAGCCCUGCUAGAUGAGACCAGAGGUUGUGCACACACUCCUUUCCUUUACCUGUAGAGAAGGUGGCAGUAACAUCAUCACAGCCAAGUUGAACAACCCCUGCUCUGAAGAAGAGGAUUCUCUAGAUCAGCUUUUCUCAACCUUGGGUCCCCAGAUGUAGUUUGACUACAACUUCCCUCCCAACAUUAUCUUAAAUUAUAUAUGUAAUAUAUGGGGUUUGACACUCAGUCAAUAUAAAUAUAUCUGUGCCCUUACAUCUGCAAGAAGAUUAAUAUCAAUAUACUGGAAGGCCAAAAAUAUGGCCUCUUUCAAUCAAUGGAUAGAUGACAUGACAACUCUUGCAACCCACGAACGGAUCACUUUCAGACAAAGAUUAUGUUUGGACAAAUUUGAUGAUAUUUGGAACACAUUUACUGAAACCAUAGUGACCUAUGAAUCAAUGUAUACUGGAGGGAAGCAAUAAGCUGAUCCAUUUGCAUAAAUGAUAUAUAGUUCUGUAGCUUUAAUUAUAUUUUACUGUCAUAUUGUUAUUGUUUUUAAGGAAGACCCCAAAAUUGUUGAGUUGUUUUUUUUUAAGGAAAACCCGAAAGUUGUUGAGCUUGCCGAAGAUCCAGGACAAACCGCCGCCUUCUGGAAAUUCCUCUAGGACGUCACUUCUACCUUUGAAAUCCCGGUAAUGUCUGGGAAAUCCUGGACGUAUGGCAACCCUAUCUCUGUAUGACAGCUGAAAUCUGAGCAUCAUCUGAGGGGAAGAGCCACAGUUCAGUAAUGGAGUACAUGCUCUGUGUACAGGAGUUCCCAGGUGCAGUGGCAUUUUCAUUUAAAAGGUUGAGAUACCAGGGGAUGCAAACACCAAUGUCUGCCAGAAGCCCUGGAGACAUGCUAACAACCGCAGUAGGCAAUACUGAGCUAAGAUGGACCAAUGGCCCAUCUCGGUACAAGACAGUUUCUUUCCUGUGUUCCCAAAGGCUGCACAAUCAAUGAAGCUUUUAUGAAGCAGAAGCGAUUGUUCUGAAUGAGCGCAGACUACGCCAUUUUACCUCUGAGAUAUUAACUCCCUAUAGUAAUAUUAUUUAUCCCAGCUGGCAAGGAGAUCAUGAAAAAUGCUCGAUCACUUUAAGCCCACUUUUGAUGAGAAAAUAUAUUUUUUCUAUGUGGGGGAGUAAUGAAUCCAUUUCCACCCUUCACCCGCUAUAGAUGAAAUGAAAUUGAAAUUAAAAUUCCACCUUCAUGACUAAUGAAGCCAUCAAGUAAUGUAACCUUGCACACAGGGGGAAAAAAGAACAGGGCAGGGGGAGGG